Schistocerca piceifrons (Central American locust) is the source of this 533-nucleotide long non-coding RNA. RefSeq lists it as uncharacterized. The record is from RefSeq and is a predicted model, not a curated record. Lineage: Eukaryota; Metazoa; Arthropoda; Insecta; Orthoptera; Acrididae. The transcript is spliced from 2 exons.
GCAACGUCUGAGGUCUUUGCCUUGCCCAAGCCAUAGGGUUGUGUUUAUGACACUCUCGUGCAAUGUAAACAAAUGAGGAGUUGAUCGUGUACAGUACUUAAAGACAAUUUUUUACAGCAUUAUUAUGGUGCAGGUAAUUGCCAACCGCCCUAGAGAUUGCUUAGCCUGCCGUAUUGUAAGUGGCUGUGGACUACUUGGAAUUUCACUGUAUGUGACGUAUCAAGCAAGGGCAAUGAAGAAAAACAAAUCUAGCAUGUUUUUUGUUGCCAGUGUGGCUGCAGUGCUGGGUACAGCAAGACUUUUUAAUUUACCGCCCUUCAACAAAUCAUCACCAGAAUAGAUGUGCAGUCUUCAUGGGACACUUGAAAACUGCACAAGUCUCAUUUAUCACUCAUAAAAAGAAGUGUUUCUGAGACAAUGUGAAGAACAACAAACAUGCGGAACUAUGCUGUAACAUUUAUUUUAUCUAAUAUCAAAGAAUAAACACAAUGUAAACAAAAGAAUUUAAUUACAUUAUUUUCCAACUUUUCCAA